Molecule: ribosomal RNA, 403 nt
Filed under: uncultured beta proteobacterium
Lineage: Bacteria; Pseudomonadati; Pseudomonadota; Betaproteobacteria
Description: bacterial SSU rRNA
Rfam family: Bacterial small subunit ribosomal RNA
Source: RNAcentral
GAGUUUGAUCGUGGCUCAGAUUGAACGCUGGCGGCAUGCCUUACACAUGCAAGUCGAACGGUAACAGGUUAAGCUGACGAGUGGCGAACGGGUGAGUAAUGUAUCGGAACGUGCCCAGUCGUGGGGGAUAACUGCUCGAAAGAGCAGCUAAUACCGCAUACGACCUGAGGGUGAAAGCGGGGGAUCGCAAGACCUCGCGCGAUUGGAGCGGCCGAUAUCAGAUUAGGUAGUUGGUGGGGUAAAGGCCUACCAAGCCGACGAUCUGUAGCUGGUCUGAGAGGACGACCAGCCACACUGGGACUGAGACACGGCCCAGACUCCUACGGGAGGCAGCAGUGGGGAAUUUUGGACAAUGGACGCAAGUCUGAUCCAGCCAUGCCGCGUGCGGGAAGAAGGCCUUCGG